Molecule: ribosomal RNA, 301 nt
Filed under: uncultured bacterium
Lineage: Bacteria
Description: partial 16S ribosomal RNA
Rfam family: Bacterial small subunit ribosomal RNA
Source: RNAcentral
CAGUAGCCGCGGUAAUACGAAGGGUGCAAGCGUUAAUCGGAAUUACUGGGCGUAAAGCGUGCGUAGGCGGUUUGUUAAGUCUGUUGUGAAAUCCCCGGGCUCAACCUGGGAAUGGCAAUGGAUACUGGCAAGCUAGAGUGUGUCAGAGGAUGGUGGAAUUCCCGGUGUAGCGGUGAAAUGCGUAGAUAUGCGGAGGAACACCGAUGGCGAAGGCAGCCCCCUGGGCCAACACUGACGCUCAUGCACGAAAGCGUGGGGAGCAAACAGGAUUAGAUACCCCCGUAGUCCCUGUCUCUUAUAC